CAGCCGGCAGACAGCCAAACACACAGAGGCAGACAGUUACAGUCACAUACAAGCAGACAGUCAAACACACAAAGACGGACAGUCACACACACAGUUACAGUCACAAACAGGCAGACAGUCACACACACACACACACAGUUACAGUCACAUACAGGCAGAUAGUCAAACAAACACACAGAGACAGACAGUCACUCACAAACACAGUUACAGUCACACACAGGCAGAAAGUCAAACAG
Non-coding RNA from Pelobates cultripes (western spadefoot toad), 236 nucleotides. NCBI's taxonomy places the organism in Eukaryota, Metazoa, Chordata, Amphibia, Anura, Pelobatidae. The record is from the annotation of a GenBank genome assembly.